This is a long non-coding RNA of Cavia porcellus (domestic guinea pig), 1882 nucleotides long. RefSeq lists it as uncharacterized. Lineage: Eukaryota; Metazoa; Chordata; Mammalia; Rodentia; Caviidae. The record is from RefSeq and is a predicted model, not a curated record. The transcript has 2 exons.
ACAUACUCUUUAGUGAAAUAAAUAAGACACACAUGUGCAAACAUCAUAUUGUUUCAUUAGUGUGAUAAGCUGAAAGAAAAACAUGUAUAUGUGUAUGUAUAUGUAUAUAAAAAUAGUUAAUAUAAUUAUGCUACUGAUUUCUUUAAGUUUGCUAAAGAGAAAGAUUUGUACUGGUAUUGUUGAACAAUUGAAGGCAGGUGUCUUGUGCUCUGGCUGAAUGAUUUGGGGAUGACAAUAUGCAGAGUAUGUUCCAUUGUUACCUCCUGAUUGAUGUGCUUUGAAAUCUUAUUGUAGUUUUUUGUCUUCUUUCUUUCUUUAUAUGUUUUUAAUAAAAUGAAUUUGAAAAAAACCUACUUAACUGAUGUAGGGAGCCGAGUGACAGGCAUUGCUGCCUAGAUGUCUCUCUCUCUCUCUCCUAUGGGCACUGCGUCUGCCUACAUUAACCAUAAUCCUCUUCUGCUUACGUCACUUAUCCGGAUGUGAUGGUAACCCUGUUGUAUUCAUCUGUUUAACCUCUUCCUGUCCCAGCUCCCGCCCUUAGCCUAUAAAAGGUGUGAUUAUUUUCUCAAUAAACCGGAGGCUUGAUUGGGUUAACAUCAACUUGCCUUCGUCUCUUUUUGUCUCCCCCAUGUCUUUUAUUUAAUCCCCGUUUCUCCUCCAGGAGUUCCGAACUUGUUGAUCUGCAGGCCGGAUCAAGUGGCGCUCAGCGUGGGAGCCCCUGGCACGGAGAAGUUAACGAGGGAGCCGUUCGAGACACAGCCGGCUUAAACCGAAAGUGAAAGCAAAUUGAACCAGAGACCUCGGCCGAGGAAUGAGUAAACUGAAUCAAGGAUUAAAGCUUAAAGCAACAGGACAUUAAAUCAAGUGCUGAGACCUGCGCAGACGACUACCCGACGUCCUGCCCGAGUCACGGUGACACAUCUCCUUAGAGCCUUAUGCUGCUUAACCAGCCUUCUUGAGCCACACCACACCCAUGGUGGAUUUUGACCCCUGCCAAACAGACUGCAACUGCUGACAGCCAUGCACAGAACCCCAUGACUGUGGAAGAGGCUCUUCUCGGUCUGGAGGAACAUACGCCAGCCAAAUAGACUGCAUCCAGUGUUAUACAAGGCAUGCUCCAAGACACAGGAGAAUGACUUCAUACAGAGACACCAACAAAUGACUGUCAACCCCUUCUCCUUGAUUUUGGGGGGGGGGAGUUUUUCCCUUACCUAGUCCCACUUUUGGGUCCCCUAGCUGACCUAUUGUUUCUCAUUUCUGUGAGUCUUGUAUUUUUCAGAGGAUUAUGAUGUUCAUUAAUAACCGGAUAGACGCAUUUAUGGCAAAGCCCAUUCAGGUACACUACCAUCAGCUGGAGAUGACAGAUCAACAAACCUACAGGGAAGGAAUUCCCACGAGUGGCCCAUAUGAUGAUGCGGCCUGACUGCCCUGGGGCAAUGGACAGGCAGUCAGAGACGGGCAACUAGGACAUGCAUGUUAAUUCCAACGGCCACCUAAGACAGGCACAGGACCAACUGCUGUUCUGCAAGCCCAUGACGGGUAAGGCCUGGUUGGGUUCAUGCAAUGAGGUCCUUGACCUAAGACAGACGCUGUCCUCACAGGGCCUGCCAUACUCUUAAUUAAAUAAUAUAAAAAGGGAGGAGAUGUAGGGAGCCGAGUGACAGGCAUUGCUGCCUAGAUGUCUCUCUCUCUCUCUCCUAUGGGCACUGCGUCUGCCUACAUUAACCAUAAUCCUCUUCUGCUUACGUCACUUAUCCGGAUGUGAUGGUAACCCUGUUGUAUUCAUCUGUUUAACCUCUUCCUGUCCCAGCUCCCGCCCUUAGCCUAUAAAAGGUGUGAUUGUUUUCUCAAUAAACCGGAGGCUUGAUUGGGUUAACAUCAA